Solanum tuberosum (potato) is the source of this 740-nucleotide long non-coding RNA. RefSeq lists it as uncharacterized. NCBI's taxonomy places the organism in Eukaryota, Viridiplantae, Streptophyta, Magnoliopsida, Solanales, Solanaceae. The transcript is spliced from 2 exons. The record is from RefSeq and is a predicted model, not a curated record.
UGGAAAAAUCUACCAUCUCUCUCACAAGUAUAAUAGAAACACACUCUCUUCCAAAUUUUCAAGGUUGGGUUCUUUUGACUUCUCUCAUUCUACGAACUCUCUCUCAACAUGGGUUUUGCAAUCUCAGGGUUAUGACAAAAUCCGAGUUGAAUAAGUUGUGUAUGGAUGAGAAUGAUUCAAUGAUCAAUGCGGAAGUGCGAUGCAAGCAUGGAAUCUUAUUGCAACUGCAGACGUCUUGGUCAGAUCGCAAUCUCGGAAGAUGAUUUUGGUCUUGUCUUCACUUAUGAGGCCACAAACUGUAAUUUUUUUAGAUGGAGAGACAAGGAGAGAGUCAAUGAAAGAUCUCGAUUUAUUCUAACGAAAUUGGUGAAUAGGAUUAAGGAGUUAGAAGAAAAAUAUGAGCGUGUGAAUAUGCAAUUGGAACAGCUUGAUAAUUCCAACAUUGAACAGUCAAAACAAGAAAAAAUUCCUUUGGAUAAAGGUGAAAGUCUUCAAAAUCGUUAUGAAAAUCUCAACAUCAAUCAAAGGAGAAGGGUCGUGAUGUAAAAGAAAUGGAUGAUUUGAAAGAGAAGAAGAUGAAAGGGAUGAAAAUGAAGAAAAAUGAUGAAGGCUGUCGUUGUUUUGGAAAAUUCCUUUGUUGUUUGAUGAUUUGUUUUGUUGUUACAUUUGUUAGCUUUCUAACCCAAGUUGGUAGGUUGAAGGAUCAAAUAAAAUUGCCAUAAUUUUUUGUGGUAUUGAAA